AAAAUUUAGUUAAUUUAUAACAUCAACUUGUCAAGUUGAAAUUAUCUUCUAGAUAAUUUUUU
This 62-nucleotide transfer RNA is filed under the name Sinocrepis fulva. RNAcentral describes it as "tRNA-Asp". Lineage: Eukaryota; Metazoa; Arthropoda; Insecta; Coleoptera; Chrysomelidae. The record is from RNAcentral.